UAAUAGGGAGUGGGACAGAAAUAAUAUUUAACAAAAUUUAUUUCGUUCUACCCCAACUUGCAUUGUCUGUAGAAUUUCCUUUCGAAAUUCUCUUUGUUUGGGGCCCCGCCAACUUGCACAUUAUUGUAAGCUGACAGAAAGUCAGCUUCUAUGUUGGGGCCCCACUAGAAUUGAAAAAAGCUUGUUACAAGCGUAUUUUCUUUCAGUCAACUACUGCCAAUAUAACAUUGUAGUGCCUAGGACAUUGAAUU
This 251-nucleotide non-coding RNA is filed under the name Staphylococcus aureus. RNAcentral's name for it is "Staphylococcus sRNA 35 (srn_0335)". It matches the Rfam family "Staphylococcus sRNA 35 (srn_0335)". Rfam says of the family: Other name: Srn_0335, SAOUHSCs258. Northern blot transcript confirmed in exponentially growing and stationary cells in three cultivation media. The record is from RNAcentral. Lineage: Bacteria; Bacillati; Bacillota; Bacilli; Caryophanales; Staphylococcaceae.